This 24-nucleotide non-coding RNA is filed under the name Drosophila melanogaster (fruit fly). Lineage: Eukaryota; Metazoa; Arthropoda; Insecta; Diptera; Drosophilidae. The record is from RNAcentral.
UUCGUGGAGACGACCCGAGCGUAC